GAUGGGCUUUAAUUAUUUUAUUUUCUUCUUCUCCUUCUAUUAUUAUUUUUCUCUUUUUCCUUUUUUUUUAUUUUCUUUCCUUUCUUUUCUUAUUUUUCUUUUGUUUUCUUUUGUUUUCUUUUCUUCUCCUACUUUCUCUUUCCUCCCUUCUUCCUGCGUUCUUUUCUUUUCUUCUCCCUUCGUUCUCUUCCAGCGCAGGUGACAGGGAAGGGCACCGGCGGCUAGGUGGGCGGCGGACCGGAGAGGGGAGACCGGUUCCGGGACCAGGGAGCCGAGGGGGUUCCAUUCCCCUCGGUGACAACGCCCAGGACGGCGCCGGGAAGGCUCGCGGCGGUGGCCGAUCUAGG
This 347-nucleotide long non-coding RNA is filed under the name Oryza brachyantha (malo sina). RNAcentral's name for it is "long non-coding RNA (OBRA_LNC000125)". The record is from RNAcentral. Lineage: Eukaryota; Viridiplantae; Streptophyta; Magnoliopsida; Poales; Poaceae.